UGGGGGAUAUUGCACAAUGGGCGAAAGCCUGAUGCAGCGACGCCGCGUGGGGGAUGAAGGCCUUCGGGUUGUAAACUUCUUUUGCUCUGAACAAGGCGCACCAUGGGGUGUGUUGAGUGUAGGGGUUGAUUAGCGCCGGCUAACUACGUGCCAGCAGCCGCGGUAAUACGUAGGGCGCGAGCGUUGUCCGGAAUUAUUGGGCGUAAAGGGCUUGUAGGUGGCUGGUUGCGUCUGUCGUGAAAGCUCAUGGCUUAACUGUGGGUUUGCGGUGGGUACGGGCUGGCUUGAGUGCAGUAGGGGAGGCUGGAAUUCCUGGUGUAGCGGUGGAAUGCGCAGAUAUCACGAGGAAUACCGGUGGCGAAGGCGGGUCUCUGGGCUGUUACUGACACUGAGGAGCGAAAGCAUGGGGAGCGAACAGG
This 419-nucleotide ribosomal RNA is filed under the name bacterium. Its description in RNAcentral is "partial 16S ribosomal RNA". It matches the Rfam family "Bacterial small subunit ribosomal RNA", at positions 355 to 776 of the family's 1533-position model. The record is from RNAcentral.